Molecule: ribosomal RNA, 429 nt
Filed under: Chloroflexota bacterium
Lineage: Bacteria; Bacillati; Chloroflexota
Description: Chloroflexi bacterium partial 16S ribosomal RNA
Rfam family: Bacterial small subunit ribosomal RNA
Source: RNAcentral
UAGGGAAUCUUCGGCAAUGGACGAAAGUCUGACCGAGCAACGCCGCGUGAGUGAAGAAGGUUUUCGGAUCGUAAAACUCUGUUGUUAGAGAAGAACAAGGACGUUAGUAACUGAACGUCCCCUGACGGUAUCUAACCAGAAAGCCACGGCUAACUACGUGCCAGCAGCCGCGGUAAUACGUAGGUGGCAAGCGUUGUCCGGAUUUAUUGGGCGUAAAGCGAGCGCAGGCGGUUUCUUAAGUCUGAUGUGAAAGCCCCCGGCUCAACCGGGGAGGGUCAUUGGAAACUGAGAGACUGAAGUGCAGAAGAGGAGAGUGGAAUUCCAUGUGUAGCGGUGAAAUGCGUAGAUAUAUGGAGGAACACCAGUGGCGAAGGCGGCUCUCUGGUCUGUAACUGACGCUGAGGCUCGAAAGCGUGGGGAGCAAACAGG